CGAUACACACACACGAGUCCGGUGAGAGAGAGCAAGUUAGUUAUGUUUUCUCUCCAGGUUUCUUUGGCUUCUGAUGAAACACGUCACAUGUUUCAGCACCAUGGAUGGAGGACAGAGAUCUGUAUAGUUUUGGCUCGUGUACAGAAGUGGAUACCAACGAAAGUUUUCAGUGUGGUCAUGUGAUCAGAGAGACUUUUUGUGGCCGACGUUAUCAGUCUUUAUCAAUCUUCACGCUUUUGUAUUUGGUUGUAAAGAAGCUGUUCUGGUGUGAACAUAAAUCUGAUUUGCUUGAAGCUGGAACAGAAAACAGUAACAUGAAGUAACAGAUCACAUGACAGAAUGGUGCUCUAGUUGGAAGCGACAGUCCUGUCGAUCCAGGAGCGUAGCUGGGAGAUGCGGGCGUAGACUACUGGAAAACGGGUGUCACAAGUUCUGGUUCCCCAGGACACAGAGCCCACCAGAGUCCAGACCCCUGAACGCUUACACACCAGAGGACCUCCAGAAUCACCCUGUGGAAAACACACAUUUGAGACUGAACAGCAGCAACAUUGAUUUGAUAAUGUGUUUAUCUUGAUCUGUCUUUACGUACCAUGCAAGACGAGGAUCCAGCUCCUCCAGCACAGAUCAUGGAAUCAGUGAUAGUGCUCUGACCCCAGAUCUGUCUGCACACAGCAGGACUCGUGAUGGGGAUGCC
Onychostoma macrolepis is the source of this 694-nucleotide long non-coding RNA. RefSeq lists it as uncharacterized. The record is from RefSeq and is a predicted model, not a curated record. The transcript is spliced from 3 exons. Lineage: Eukaryota; Metazoa; Chordata; Actinopteri; Cypriniformes; Cyprinidae.